Molecule: long non-coding RNA, 2348 nt
Organism: Tachysurus fulvidraco (yellow catfish)
Lineage: Eukaryota; Metazoa; Chordata; Actinopteri; Siluriformes; Bagridae
Exons: 3
Source: RefSeq, a predicted model, not a curated record
CCCUACUGGUUCAUGUCAGUUAUUCAUUGCAUCCUACUAAAUGAAAAAGUCAGGCGUAUUCAGUUUCCAUGAGUCUGAGGCUGACAUGCCUCAAAUUUUUCUUGUAUUUGACUGGAUUUUUAUACUAAGUAAAACUGACAUUUUUUUCUUAGUGCUUGCCUUUGCUGUUGGACAUGAAGGUCUCCAUAUCCAAGGUCCCUCGAGUCCAGUUGUGGCCCAGCUGGGAGGUUCGGUUCUCCUGCCAUGCUUUGUUGAAAGCCCACUGCCUCUGGAAGGUCUGCAGGUGGAAUGGAGAAAGACGGAUUCCGAUUCUCUAGUCAGUCUCUUCCAACAAGGAAAACGUCGACCAGAUCUCCAAAGUCAGAAGUUUAGAGGCAAAAUCAACUUUUUUCCAGAUGAACUCACAAAAGGGAACUUCUCCAUCUUACUCAAAAAUGUGGUUGAAGAAGACGCUAGAGGUUACAGAUGUAAAGUAAAUACAAUUCAAGACUCCAGUGAGGUCAUAAUGGAAGUUAGUAAUAUCUAAGAGGAAUACGACAACUGCAGCCAAAUUCCUUGACACAUCUGUGUGUGGUGACUCUUGAUGCCUUGACCCCAGCCUCAGCCCAUUCCUUGUGAAGUUCACCCAAAUUCUUGAAAUGAUUUGCUUGACAAGCCUCUCAAGGCUGUGGUUCUCACGGUUGGUUGUGCAUCUUUUUCUUCCACACGUUUUCCUUCCACUCAACUUUCUGUUAACAUGCUUGGAUACAGCAUUCUGUGAACAGCUUCAUUGGCAAUGAGUGUUUGUGGCUUACCCUCCUUAUGAAGGGUGUCAAUGGUUGUCUUGUGGACAACUGUCAGGUCAGCAGUCUUCCCCAUAAUUGUGUAGCCUAGUGAACCAAAUUGAAAGACCAUUUUGAUGGCUCAGGAACCUUGUGCAGGUGUUUUGAGUUGAUUAGCUGAAUGGCAGUGCACCAUAUUCAAAUUCUUUGAAUUAGUGAGUUUUUGUUAAAUGUGAGCCAAAAAACAUCACAAUUAAAAGUACCAAAGACUUAAACUACUUCAGUCUGUGUGUACUGAAUUUUAUAUAAUACAUAAGUUUCACUAUUUGAGUUGAAUUACUGAAAUAAAUGAACUUUUCCAUGACAUUUUAAUUUAUUGAGAUACACCUGUAAUAUAUUUACAUCUUUGCAUUCAGUAGAGCUGCUUUUAAUUGAUCCUACAUUCAUACAUUCUACAUUCAUCAACAGCUCAUUUAUUUUAUUUCACAGAGUGCUUACAAAAAACAGUGAGGGCUUUGGCUAUUCCGUUUUACCUUUCAGCUAUUUUGUUGGCUGGAUUUUCAAGUAUGUUUACACUGAAGUAGGCUUAUGGUGCUUUAGUGCUCCUUCAUAGUCCAAAUGAAACUGAUUUAUUGACCUUUUUGUGCUACUUUCCUUCCUUCCUUGUUUACUUUCUUUCUUUAAAAGUAUAUUGUGGUAAUAUACCUUACAUAGUUCACUGUCUGGUUUUAUCAGAAACCUGAAUAUUCUUGGGGUUUUUUUUUCAAUCCCAACAGUAUAUUUUUCGAUAUAACCUGAAUGCUGCUACUAUUCAACUAUAUAUAAAUAUAUAUUAAUGUGCUCUUUCUUUAAUAGACCAAAUAUUUAAUUGCCUUGCAAUUUGCUCUGGUACAAGAGAAUUAAUUCUUAUGGCUACACCGUGUGCAUAUCGAGUAACCGAUUAAGCAUUACCAAUUAACAACAUUCCUUUUUUCCUUCAUUCUUUUCUUUAACAAUGUACACAGAAAUAAAAUUUUUUCCUUUUUCCAAACUUUUAUUUAGUUUUCAUUGAAACCUUUGCCAGGAAUUAUGAAAUAUAUGGGCUUCCAGUAACAGUAAUGGCAAUCAUAGUAGUGGUGACUGUCAUCAGUUCAGAAAUAUUAGGUAAGGAAGAAUAUACUUUACUACACUAAGUUUUUGUGUGUCCUAACUGUGCUGCUUUAUAUAGGAGAUGAACAAAGAAAUUUGUUGUUUGUUUUCCAUGUUGUUCAUGUUGCUUUUAAUUCGUCCAAUAAUUCAUUCUAAGAGACUGUUGGCAUCUCUUAUGUUCUUCUCCCCUCACAUUUUUUUCUUUAUUUUUUAAGGUAAAAACGUGCAUUAUUUUUGUCAAGAAAUAAAUCUGCUCUUCGCUGUUCCACAGCUAUCUACAGUUUCCAAAUAUAUCUGACUGUGUGCCUAGAAAUAUUCAACCUUGCACUUGUCGGAACUCAGAGCCGGUCUCCAAGCCAACACAUCACAGGGUGUCCUCUUCUCUUAGGCCUUUAGUUAAAUUUCACUGUUAACUCUAUAAUUACUACAAAAAAACUGAGAAAACUCCUCAGGCCUGGA